GACGAACGCUGGCGGCGUGACUAAUACAUGCAAGUCGAACGCAGUGGGGACGGGUGAGUAACACGUGGGUAACCUCCCAUCAGAGGGGAUAACACUUGGAAACAGGUGCUAAACCGAUACUGAUGGAUGGACCCGCGGUGCAUUAUCUAGUUGGUGAGGUAACGGCUCACCAAGGCCACGAUGCAUAACCGACCGGAGAGGGUGUACGGCCACACUGGAACUGAGACACGGCCCAGACGCCUACGUGAGGCAGCAGUAGUGAAUCUUCGGCAAUGGACGAAAGUCUGACCGAGCAACGCCGCGUGAGUGAAGAAGGUUUUCGGAUCGUAAAACUCUGUUGUCAGAUAGGCUUUAUCUAUCCAGCAAGCCACGGCUAACUACGUGCCUGCAGCCGCGGUAAUUC
RNAcentral lists this ribosomal RNA (403 nucleotides) under uncultured bacterium. RNAcentral's name for it is "partial 16S ribosomal RNA". It matches the Rfam family "Bacterial small subunit ribosomal RNA", at positions 28 to 526 of the family's 1533-position model. The record is from RNAcentral.